AUCCAGCUGACGAGAACUAAAUAGGACGAAACGCGUGUCCUGGAU
This is a non-coding RNA of Schistosoma haematobium, 45 nucleotides long. The record is from Rfam. Lineage: Eukaryota; Metazoa; Platyhelminthes; Trematoda; Strigeidida; Schistosomatidae.